AUGUUGAGUCCCCAUGUGAUGUCCAACUACCUUAAAUCCCAUAUAACUGGACUGUGUCAACAUGUUUAUAAGAUGACAUUUUCAUUUGAUAAAGUAACCAUUACAAUUUUUGCUAAAGAUAAAAUCCCAACAUCCUCACCAGCACCCACCUCACAACAACACAACAUCAGCACUGCUGCAGGGAGUAUUACUGAAGGUUACCAGACAAACACAUCAAUCUCACUCCCACACACCAUCUUACAACAACACAACACCAGCACCACUGCAGGUAAAUGUGUGUGUAUACUAAUUUAUCAGCUUUAAUUUAAAUUAUUCAUUUAAUUUAUUAUUAUUUAAUUGAUUGUUAUUUAAAUGAAUGCAUACAGUUUUUGUCACGCCCCCGGGCUGAUCUGUCUGUUUUUCCCCAUAGUGUGUGUUGUUUACACUUACCAUGUGCUUCUGUGUCACCGUGGUGCCCGUCUCCGCCCUCUUGUUUCAUUAUUAUCUUGUUAUUGGUCACCAUCACCUGCUCUGCAUUAUGAUAAUCACUCCUUCUCUAUUUAGUCUCCUCAUGUGUGCUGUCUGUUGUCAGAUCGUCGAGUUGUUUUCGUCCAUGUCUCAACUUUAUCCACAUCUCUUGUUUAGCCUACACAGAGAUCGUGCCCGUUUUGUUUUCAUCCUCUAGUUUGUUUGUUUUUUCCCACUUCCUCCUGCUUUCAGGCAGCGCUACUCUCCAGCCUUCCGUGUUAGAGCUCACCGAUCGCUGUCACUCCUCUUCUUCGCCGCGCCACAGCGCGCCUCCAGUUCCCCGCCUCAACAGCGCCCCCGCCUCCCUGUCAGUUUGUCCGGGCAUUGCAUCAGAGGAUUUCCUAGUGGAAUUCGUCCAGGAGGCUCUUUUGGAUCUGCUCCAGACUGCCCUGUUCCUGGAUAGUUUUUUGUUAAUUCUCAUUUUUUUUUUUUCUCUGUCCUUUGGAAUUAAGCCAUCUAAUAAACUGACCUUUUGAGCAUCUGCAACUGAGUCCCAGUCUCGCCCCUU
This 1015-nucleotide long non-coding RNA is filed under the name Carassius auratus (goldfish). RNAcentral describes it as "lncRNA (ENSCARG00000023665.1)". Lineage: Eukaryota; Metazoa; Chordata; Actinopteri; Cypriniformes; Cyprinidae. The record is from RNAcentral.